RNAcentral lists this ribosomal RNA (468 nucleotides) under uncultured bacterium. RNAcentral's name for it is "partial 16S ribosomal RNA". It matches the Rfam family "Bacterial small subunit ribosomal RNA", at positions 28 to 507 of the family's 1533-position model. The record is from RNAcentral.
GACGAACGCUGGCGGCGUGCUUAACACAUGCAAGUCGAACGAUGAUGCCAGCUUGCUGGUGGAUUAGUGGCGAACGGGUGAGUAACACGUGAGCAACCUGCCCCUGACUUCGGGAUAACCGCGGGCAACCGUGGCUAAUACCGGAUAUGACGCGCUAUCGCAUGGUGGUGUGUGGAAAGAUUUAUCGGUUGGGGAUGGGCUCGCGGCCUAUCAGCUUGUUGGUGGGGUGAUGGCCUACCAAGGCGACGACGGGUAGCCGGCCUGAGAGGGUGACCGGCCACACUGGGACUGAGACACGGACCAGACUCAUACGGGAGGCAGCAGUGGGGAAUAUUGCACAAUGGGCGCAAGCCUGAUGCAGCGAGGACGCGUGAGGGAUGACGGACGUCGGGUUGUAAACCUCUUUCAAUAGGGAAGAAGGCCUUCGGGUUGACGGUACCUGCAGAAGAAGCGCCGGCUAACUACGUG